This 486-nucleotide ribosomal RNA is filed under the name uncultured bacterium. RNAcentral's name for it is "partial 16S ribosomal RNA". It matches the Rfam family "Bacterial small subunit ribosomal RNA", at positions 36 to 507 of the family's 1533-position model. The record is from RNAcentral.
CUUUCCCUCUUUCUUCAUGCCUUACACAUGCAAGUCGAACGGCAGCACGGGUGCUUGCACCUGGUGGCGAGUGGCGAACGGGUGAGUAAUACAUCGGAACAUGUCCUUUAGUGGGGGAUAGCCCGGCGAAAGCCGGAUUAAUACCGCAUACGAUCUACGGAUGAAAGCGGGGGACCUUCGGGCCUCGCGCUAUAGGGUUGGCCGAUGGCUGAUUAGCUAGUUGGUGGGGUAAAGGCCUACCAAGGCGACGAUCAGUAGCUGGUCUGAGAGGACGACCAGCCACACUGGGACUGAGACACGGCCCAGACUCCUACGGGAGGCAGCAGUGGGGAAUUUUGGACAAUGGGCGAAAGCCUGAUCCAGCAAUGCCGCGUGUGUGAAGAAGGCCUUCGGGUUGUAAAGCACUUUUGUUCGGAAAGAAAUCCUUGGCCCUAAUACGGUCGGGGGAUGACGGUACCGGAAGAAUAAGCACCGGCUAACUACGUG